This is a transfer RNA of Folsomia candida, 73 nucleotides long. It matches the Rfam family "tRNA". Rfam says of the family: Transfer RNA (tRNA) molecules are approximately 80 nucleotides in length. Their secondary structure includes four short double-helical elements and three loops (D, anti-codon, and T loops). NCBI's taxonomy places the organism in Eukaryota, Metazoa, Arthropoda, Collembola, Entomobryomorpha, Isotomidae. The record is from Rfam.
GGCUCUGUGGCCUAAUGGACAUGGCGUCGGACUUCGAAUCCGAAGAUUGUGGGUUCGAGUCCCAUCAGAGUCA